UUUUCAGUAUAAAAAAGAAAAAGCAAAUAGCAAUAUUUAUGUAAUGAAUGUCUCGUUUUACCCGCAAUCCAAUUCGAAUUUAUUGCACUUAACUUGUGCAAAAUGUUAACAUUUAAUCAAAUCAAAACAAGCUAACCAACCCAAUCUCAUGCCCAUAUCUUUGGAUAAAACGGCAAAAAACGCAAUAAAUAUUUGAUUGGUUUUUAUGGCGGAAAAAAGCGAAAAAUGCAAAUAAAAGUAAAUAAAAACAUAUGCAUAUAAUUAGUAGCGAGCUAAAAGUUUGAUUUGACCAGUAAAAUUAAACGAUGAAAUGGAAACGGCAUGGAAUAAAAUCAAUUUUGCACUGAGAAUGAAAUCGAGUCGAAAAUCCAAGCAAAUGCCAUAUUGCACCUGCCGAGACUGCUGUGCCUCCAAAGCAGUGUUUAAUACUAUGGAAACUGAAUCCGGACUCAACGGCUUGCUGCUAGAUUUUAGUUAAUAUUUUUAGUCCAUUUCCUACAUAUAUCCAAAUUACAUCCGAGUUGUUAAGAAACAGCGUCUAGUUUGAACAAGUAAUUUGUAAAUGUAAA
Drosophila yakuba is the source of this 569-nucleotide long non-coding RNA. RefSeq lists it as uncharacterized. The record is from RefSeq and is a predicted model, not a curated record. The transcript has 2 exons. Lineage: Eukaryota; Metazoa; Arthropoda; Insecta; Diptera; Drosophilidae.